Molecule: ribosomal RNA, 468 nt
Filed under: uncultured bacterium
Lineage: Bacteria
Description: partial 16S ribosomal RNA
Rfam family: Bacterial small subunit ribosomal RNA
Source: RNAcentral
GACGAACGCUGGCGGCGUGCUUAACACAUGCAAGUCGAACGGAAAGGCCCUGCUUUUGUGGGGUGCUCGAGUGGCGAACGGGUGAGUAACACGUGAGUAACCUGCCCUUGACUUUGGGAUAACUUCAGGAAACUGGGGCUAAUACCGUAUAGGAUCUCCUGCUGCAUGGUGGGGGUUGGAAAGUUUCGGCGGUUGGGGAUGGACUCGCGGCUUAUCAGCUUGUUGGUGGGGUAGUGGCUUACCAAGGCUUUGACGGGUAGCCGGCAUGAGAGGGUGACCGGCCACAUUGGGACUGCGAUACGGCCCAGACUCCUACGGGAGGCAGCAGUGGGGAAUAUUGCACAAUGGGCGGAAGCCUGAUGCAGAAACGCCGCGUGCGGGAUGACGGCCUUCGGGUUGUAAACCGCUUUCGCCUGUGACGAAGCGUGAGUGACGGUAAUGGGUAAAGAAGCACCGGCUAACUACGUG